Molecule: long non-coding RNA, 950 nt
Organism: Alosa sapidissima (American shad)
Lineage: Eukaryota; Metazoa; Chordata; Actinopteri; Clupeiformes; Clupeidae
Exons: 4
Source: RefSeq, a predicted model, not a curated record
GUUUGUGUCUGUUUGUGCCUGUCUUGGAGUGAAAAUGUGAGUGUUUGCACAUUCCCACAAUGUGUUUGUGUGUGUGUGUGUGUGUGUAUAUGUGUGUGUGUGUGUGUGUGUGUGUGUGUUGUGUCGUUUGUGUGAUUGUUCUGCAACAGUCUUCUAGAAGAUAGCACAUUCCGGAGCUGUGGGGCGGUCGCGGCCUUCAAACACACAUUUGGACAGGAGACGCUUGACGAGAUGAGGGGGGUCACCCAGGGCACUUGGCAGGGAUCAAUACCGGUCCAUCACUCCCGGCUCCCCAGGCUUCGUCUGCCCACUGGACAAACACUUCACCCGCACAAACCACCUCUCUGAGUUGCGGAGGUUUAAAGUGGAGGAGACCAGAGGGCAGUGAGGGAUCUAUAUGAUGCGGUUGCCCUGGGAGACGUCUGACACCAAGCAAACCUGCCGUUGACCUUGGGAACGAAAAGCAAUCUCACUGCUGAUAGCACAGCAAAUCUUAGACUUCAAGAAAAGGUGUGCAGGUGUAAAUAUGUAUGAGGCGAUGUGGAGAAUAUCUUAAACCCACACCUGAUUUUAAUCACUUCUGAUAUAAAGGUUGCAUAAAGAUCACAAACAGGAUGCCCUCUAGGAGUCUGGAGUGCCUGAAAUCUGACCACUGGCGGAAAAGGGAAACAGGGAACACUUUAGAAAGACCUUCUUGGCCACGACAAUGCUUGAUGGUAUAGGUGAAGUAAAGGAAUCUCCCCUAAAAGCUUUAAGUCUCUUCGCACAGACUCCCAGCUGAGACUUUUGUCUGAAGAUGAGUGCCUACCAAGAACAAUACCCAUUGUCGUGCUUCCUGAAUAAUUGAGCUUAAAAGACAAAAGCAAGCAAUAAAAUACUAAGAAAAAAAAAAGCUAUGUAUAAAAGCCUUGGCUUUUAUCCUUAACAAAUCUACUCCCAUGUCCAUUUUG